This 58-nucleotide ribosomal RNA is filed under the name Eimeriidae sp. US9C. RNAcentral's name for it is "partial 5.8S ribosomal RNA". The record is from RNAcentral. Lineage: Eukaryota; Apicomplexa; Conoidasida; Eucoccidiorida; Eimeriidae.
UUUCUGAACGCAUAUGGCGCUGCCGGGAUUUUCUCUGCAGCACGUCUGUUUCAGUGUC